This 2843-nucleotide long non-coding RNA is filed under the name Olea europaea subsp. europaea. The record is from RNAcentral. Lineage: Eukaryota; Viridiplantae; Streptophyta; Magnoliopsida; Lamiales; Oleaceae.
AGACCUGAAUUGACUCCCCAAAAGCACUUUUACAAGGAUUAGGGUGGGUCUCCUGGGUUUGACAAUUAAAUAAACUGGUAUGGACCAUCCCCAUCUCCUUUUAGUAUUAAGUUAAAAUACAAUAUCCUAAACCCUAAUUCUACCCCCUUUCCAUUUUCCAACUAUUUCUUGUGUUCUUCUCUCUCUCUCUCUCUCUCUCAAUUAUGAAAAUCUCCAUUAUUAUGGCUUUCCCCUUAAUUCUAUAAUUUGCCAUUUGCAUUAGGGAUGAUAUCACAUUCUAGGCCAUUUUUUCAUUAUUCUAUCUUGUUUGUUAGCGUUGCUUAAAGAGAUCUUAUGAGUUUGUAUGGAAAAUAUCUGGUAAGUUCUACAAAACGUUAUAGGAAUUUUUACUUUUUUACAACACUUUCUCAGCACUCUCUCUUAAUUUUCAGCAGAACUUCAAUUUUCACAAGUUAAAAGAAUUAACUUUCUAUAUUUGGCAUCGCCAUAUGAGUGAACCAAGCAUAUCUCAAAGGUGUAUCUCAUCAGGGAUGGACCCAAUUCAGGCUCAAUGCAGGCAGAAGCCUGCACUGAACUUUGGGCCAGCCCACUUAAGCUAAAAAAAAAUAAUAAUAAUAAUAAAUAAAAUAAAUAAAUAAAAAAUAAAAAAACUUGGGGACAUAAUUGUGUUAAACUGGUGAAUAGGCGCUGGCAAUUCUUGAAGCUAGCUAAACUGUAUGGUAUGCAAUCUAAUGAGAGACCCCACCAGUGGCCCUGGAGCUUCUUCUAUAUUUACUGAUCUUUCUUGCAGGUCCCCUCACGUGCAACCUACCACCCACCCAGAUGAAUUUGGACCUCAACCCUUCUAGUUAAUACUAAAUCUCAACACUGAUUCUCUAUUGGUGUUACCUUUUGGUGGCAUUCACACCUACUUUUUCAGCUCUCUAACUGGAGAAAUGAAGAAAAUUGAGUUAUCUCACAACUUAGUAAAGAGAAGAUCGUUGUUAUUUUUAGAUCUUUGCUAAUAUCGCCCACACUGAUAAAAUUUCCUGUGUCCACCCCUGAAUCUCAUGGUGUUCUAUAUGUUCAAGAUUAGUUUCAUGUUACAUAUCGAAAAAGUGUGUUUCUGACCAGAAACGGAUGUAAGACAUGACUAGAAUUUUGCUGGUAUGAAUGCUAUUUUGAACAUUCAAAAUUAUUUGGUGUUAAAUGUGAUAAAAGUGUGGGUGCUUAAAAAUUUUGGACCUGAUAAGAUGUAACAGCUCCGCUAGAAUAUGGCUUUAACAAACUGCAAAUUUGGAAGUGGACAUUAUUAUUUACAAUUGGAUUUUAAUUGUAGGAGUUUGUGUUUCCAUUUGCAACCUAUGACCUUGAUUCUCAUAUCAGCAACUUCUAAAAGAAGGCAAAAUGGACCACUCAUACUAUCUUUGUAAGAUUUUUUAUGCUGUUUGACAAAUCAAAAUAUUCCUUCUAAAUGAAAUCAAUUUCUUCAUUUUAAAACGACGCGUUUCGUAUAUUUAUGAGAUUAAUUACGCAUUAAAUUUAUGAACCAUAGAAGCAACUGAAGACAUUUACACGUUCAUAAUCACUAAAUUAUAUUACAUUGAGCAAAAUUUUCGAUUUAUUAUUAUUUCUGGAUCCUAAAUCAGUAUCAUAUGAUGAGGUGAUCAUCAUGCGGUCGAAAUAAGCACUGCUGCUGAUCUGCACAUUCAGUGUAUUGUUUGUCAGAAGUUCUUUUUUCAGAAUACCUCUUCCAUUAAAUAAAAUUACCCUGUCAGUAUCUUACUCUUCUUCUGCCUUUAGUUGAUUCUUAAUUGCAUAUUAAAUAUGUUUAAUUCAUUGAAUUUAUGAUUAUACUUCUUGCGAACUUUGGUUCUAAUUCUUUUGCAACUUUGUUUAAAAACGCUGUUUAAGGGGUCGAAGUUUAGAUGGAUUAAGAAUAUCUGUAGUCUGUCGAUAGUAAAAUCAAGAAAAGUUUGAAUGCCGCAUUGUCAAAUUUUCUUUUGAAUUACAUUAUCACAAGCAAUUGUUUCUUUCCUGAAUCUCAAUAAAUAUCCUAAGAUAUGACCUUAAAGUCAAAGUGAACACUAUCAAUGAUCCUCAUUUUUUAUGCUGAUCAUUUACAAUGCAUGGUGUUGAAAAGUAAGAAAACUGCAUUUACUUAUUUGUUGGUUCAUGUUUGAAGGUACGUUUAUGAGAUGGCUUCAAGUAAAUUGCUAUUAGUUUUUCAUGCAACUUUUGGUUACAAAAGAUUUGAUCAAGUUGUGCGUUUCUUUCUAUUAUGAUUCUCGUAAACCAAAUUACUUCUUUCAUUGUGAUUUCUCUUUUGGCCUGUAUGUCAAGUUAUUAAUCCUAGCUCCUAUUUAACCGUGUAAAAUUUCCCCCUUUCUUCCAGGUUGACAUGCGAGCUCGAAUUCGUGGAAACAAAGGUUACUAGUUGUUGGUGGAUCAUUUGCUUUAAAAAUACGUGGAGUGAUGCAACAUUCAUGAGAUUGAACUUCCAAAACCCAGCCCCAACAGCCCGAUGAAGGAUGGCGAUAGAGAGUAAAGACCUUGAAAUUUCACUUGCCAAACCUGAUCUAUUAUGCUUGUUUAGUGAAUGUAAAGAAAUUCAGAUUUCUAGUUAAUACUUGGGCAAGGAUUUUAUUUUUCGACACUAAAUAAGAGGAAUUAUCUAGUCAAAAAGAUACAAGCAUGUUUGGUAUAUUGGACUUGAAACCUAAUCCUAUUCUUCCACAUGCUGAACAUACAAGUAAAGCAUUUUACUUGGUUUUUAGAAAUUUUUAAGGGGGAGUAUAACUUUUGCUACUACAUUUAUUAAAUUUUUAUAAUAUUGAAACGUGGAUUAUCCAAUUGGAAUGUGA